Long non-coding RNA from Orcinus orca (killer whale), 2841 nucleotides. RefSeq lists it as uncharacterized. The transcript has 4 exons. The record is from RefSeq and is a predicted model, not a curated record. NCBI's taxonomy places the organism in Eukaryota, Metazoa, Chordata, Mammalia, Artiodactyla, Delphinidae.
AGUUCUUUCCUAUUGGGCUCCUUUCCUCGUCUCAGCCGUUCAUGCCUCUUGACUCAGCAGGGGGAGACAAAGUUCCAAAGACCCUGCCCGCUGCACCUGUCAGCACCAGAAAGCCACAUGUGCUUCAUUUCAUCAUGACUUUACAUCCGUUGGUUUUGAAACCCUCCUGGCUAGUUAUUCUCUCAGAAGUUCUCGGUCCCCCAACCUGGCAGCCUUCUGUUACCACUGGUGAUGCCCCACCUGUUUUACUGAAAGAUCAGGAUUAUCUGGAGUUUCUCCACUUGGGCAUUUCUCUGUUUUGCACAGGAAUUGUUGCCUUAACUUCACUCUAAAUUCCAUUCCUUUUGAUUAGCUUCUCUCCAUCUUUUUUUUUCUCGUCUUUCAAUCCUCCAGGCCUCUCAGCUGAGACCUUGAACCUUCCCUUCCACACCUUGCUUCUACCAUCCCCCUACUAUGAAUAGUAACCUGUUCUCCAAAUGGAUGGUCUUCCCACGCGCACCUCAGCCAUGCUCUCCCUGUGAGGCUCUCGUUGUUAGAUGUGCUCUACUGAGUGAAAAUCUUUGGUUUUUUUAAAAAUUCAUUUAUUUUAUUUGUUUUUAUUUUUGGCUGCAUUGGGUCUUCGUUGCUGCGCAUGCGCUUUCUCUAGUUGUGGCGAGGAGGGGCUACUCUUCGUUGCGGUGUGCGGGCUUCUCAUUGCGGUGGCUUCUCUUGUUGCGGAGCACGGGCUCUGGGUGCGCGGGGUUCAGUAGUUGUGGCACGUGGGCUCAGUAGUUGUGGCUCGCGGGCUCUAGAGCGCAGGCUCAGUAGUUGUGGCGCACGGGCUUAGUUGCUCCGCAGCAUGUGGGAUCUUCCCCGACCAGGGCUCGAACCCGUGUCCCCUGCAUUGGCAGGUGGAUUCUUAACCAUUGCGCCAUCAGGGAAGCCCCCUGAGUGAAAAUCUUACAGUGUCUUGCAUUUGUCCUAAUUCUUCCAAAGUAACACAGAUAUAUAUUUUCUCUUGAUAUAUUUGGAGACAACUUCCCUCUUUCCCUUUCAGCUUUUUACGCUUCUAAUCUUAAAUUUUUAUUGAAGCUAUUCCCCCAAGCAUUGCUUUCUGAUCAAAGCUGGCCGUCUCUGUUCUUUACUUUUGAUGUCGUUAACUACCUUCUUAUUCUUUGAAUUCCACUUUUGUCUCCAUUUUGAUAUCUCCUUUUCCUCCUAAUCCUCAGUCGUAAGAAAACUCUCUAGACAAAAUUGUUUCAUCUUCUGUGUUCCAGACGCUCUCGUUCAUACUCUAUUUUUAGCUUUGUCAUCACUCGUCCACAAAACUCUAGAAAGUCAGGACUACCUUCUAAUCAUUUUGAAAAAUCCUCUCAUGCAGUGCCUGGCAGGUAGGUGGUAGAACUUAGUUAGUGUUUAAUUUUUCUCUGUCCAGUUCCAGUACUUCUUUUGCACAGUUCGCUGUUUCAUAUUUUUCUGAAACCUCCCAAUGACUACCAAUUUUUUCUCUCUAGCCCCAAUUUGUUACUCAUUUUCCAAUCUUAAAUUGCCUUGCGGUCACCAGGAUGUCCUGCUGGCAGCCCAGUGUAAUAGAGUUCAUUUUCUCACCCCAGUCCCUGCAAACCCACUUCCCCCAUAACUUUCCUAGUGGUCUUUGUUUAAUAAGCUGCUUGAAGCAUUUUUGAGUAAACUUAGGCAUCAAGGCACAUUUUGAUCCUUAUUCAUUAAGUAGCUCUCUCGCAUUACUGGGCCCGGAGUCUCCACUGUGCCGUAAUUCUCACAUUUUCUGGGUUGUCUUUAACUGUCAGUGGCAACGCCAUCUUCCCCAGGCCCCCAGCCUUAGGGAUAUUUGUGGAUACAUCUUUUUCUCUCUCCUUUGUCCUCAGCCUCCAGGUGUUGCUGAUUCUUUCUCACUUGCUUUUCUAGCUCAUCUUUCUUGUUGAUUUCUAAGCCAUUUUCCUCUGCCUGAAUUAUUCUCAAUGGCCUUAUUUUUGGUGUCCCUCUUCUAGGCUUCCCUGCUCCAGUCUGUGCCAUGCUCAACUCUCAGAAUAAUCCUGUUAAACGGUAUUUUUGUGGUGUUUUUCUCCUGCUCAUAUAUCAAAAAGGACUUUUUUUCCUGGAUUAAUGUUGAGAUCUUGCAUGAAGCCUCAUCUCUAGCUAGAAAAUCGGGGAGACCAGAGAUCUGAGGAUGAGAAAACAGAUGCCCAGACAGAAGGUGACUGACUGUUGGUCUCAGCAAUGCUUGGGGUGAACUAAUUAGAAAAGAGGAUUUAAGAACCACAAAUGUCCCCAGGGAAACCAGGGCUAUGUGCCCUUUGUGAAUGUGUUACUGACACCAGCUCAUUUAAUCUUCUUAUCAACCUUAAGGGCGAAAACACCCUCACUGAUAACCUUGCCACGCGUAGUAGACAGAUGCAGCGCUACAAUCCCACUGUGGAGAGAUCUGGAGGACAGUGAUGGAGGAAAAUCUUCCCAGUAGGCAGAACUUGAGCAGUUCAUCUGGUUGUUUGUUUUGCCUGGAAGGAGCAAUGGCUAGAGGUAUGGGUUUACAUCGAUUCAUGGGCUGUGGCUACUGGUUUGGCUGGACGGUCAGGGACUUGGAAGAACCAUGAUUGGAAAAUUGAUGACAAGGAGGUCUGGAGAACAGGUAGGCAAAUAGGUUUCUCUGAAUGGAAAUGAAAUGGUGGACUCAGCAGAGGAGGAUUUUAAUAAUCAGGUGGACAGAAUGUCAUUCUGUGGAUGUCAGUCAGCCUCCUUCCCCAGCCAGUCCAGCCACUGCCCAAUGUCAGGGAUAAAGUUUAUGCAUGGGUCGUCAACAUGGACUUCCACUCACCAAGGCUGAUCUGGCUGUAACCACAGCCA